RNAcentral lists this ribosomal RNA (387 nucleotides) under Scheffersomyces coipomensis. RNAcentral describes it as "eukaryotic LSU rRNA". It matches the Rfam family "Eukaryotic large subunit ribosomal RNA", at positions 124 to 507 of the family's 3401-position model. Lineage: Eukaryota; Fungi; Ascomycota; Pichiomycetes; Serinales; Debaryomycetaceae. The record is from RNAcentral.
GGCGCCUUCGGUGUCCGAGUUGUAAUUUGAAGAAGGUAACUUUGGUUUUGGCUCUUGUCUAUGUUCCUUGGAACAGGACGUCACAGAGGGUGAGAAUCCCGUGCGAUGAGAUGCCCAAUUCCAUGUAAAGUGCUUUCGAAGAGUCGAGUUGUUUGGGAAUGCAGCUCUAAGUGGGUGGUAAAUUCCAUCUAAAGCUAAAUAUUGGCGAGAGACCGAUAGCGAACAAGUACAGUGAUGGAAAGAUGAAAAGAACUUUGAAAAGAGAGUGAAAAAGUACGUGAAAUUGUUGAAAGGGAAGGGUUUGAGAUCAGACUUGGUAUUUUGUAUGUUUUACUCUCGGGUGAGGCCUCUGCAGUUUACUGGGCCAGCAUCAGUUUGGAUGGUAGG